CCCUUAGAUGUCCUGGGCCGCACGCGCGUUACACUGAUGCAUUCAACGAGCUUAUAACCUUGGCCGAGAGGCCUGGGCAAUCUUGUUAACGUGCAUCGUGAUAGGGAUAGAUUAUUGAAAUUAUUAAUCUUGAACGAGGAAUUCCUAGUAAACGCAGAUCAUCAAUCUGCAUUGAUUACGUCCCUGCCCUUUGUACACACCGCCCGUCGCACCUACCGAUUGGAUGGUCCGGUGAAGCCUCGGGAUUGUGGUUCUUGUCGCUUUGUUGUGGCGUGACCGCGAGAACUUGUCUAAACCUUAUCAUCUAGAGGAAGGUGAAGUCGUAACA
This 328-nucleotide ribosomal RNA is filed under the name uncultured eukaryote. RNAcentral's name for it is "partial 18S ribosomal RNA". It matches the Rfam family "Eukaryotic small subunit ribosomal RNA", at positions 1470 to 1796 of the family's 1831-position model. The record is from RNAcentral.